AGUGAACGCUGGCGGUAGGCCUAACACAUGCAAGUCGAACGGCAGCACAGUAAGAGCUUGCUCUUACGGGUGGCGAGUGGCGGACGGGUGAGGAAUACAUCGGAAUCUACUUUUUCGUGGGGGAUAACGUAGGGAAACUUACUCUAAUACCGCAUACGACCUACGGGUGAAAGCAGGGGAUCUUCGGACCUUGCGCGAUUGAAUGAGCCGAUGUCGGAUUAGCUAGUUGGCGGGGUAAAGGCCCACCAAGUCGACGAUCCGUAGCUGGUCUGAGAGGAUGAUAAGCCACACUGGAACUGAGACACGGUCCAGACUCCUACGGGAGGCAGCAGUGGGGAAUAUGGGACAAUGGGCGCAAGCCUGAUCCAGCCAUACCGAGUGGGUGAAGAAGGCCUUCGGGUUGUAAAGCCCUUUUGUUGGGAAAGAAAAGCAGCAGGUUAAUACCCCGCUGUUCUGACGGUACCCAAAGAAUAAGCACCGGCUAACUUCGUG
This 492-nucleotide ribosomal RNA is filed under the name uncultured bacterium. Its description in RNAcentral is "partial 16S ribosomal RNA". It matches the Rfam family "Bacterial small subunit ribosomal RNA", at positions 29 to 507 of the family's 1533-position model. The record is from RNAcentral.